GGGUCAGUUGGUUGGUCAUGCCACAGGUAUGUACUGAUCUUACUGAUUCCUCCUUCCUGAUGAACCGUAAUGCCAUUAAUUUGGUGUUGCGGGGAAACUGGACUGUUACUUUGAAAAAAUUAGAGUGUUUAAAGCAGGCUAACGCUUGAAUACAUUAGCAUGGAAUAAUGAAAUAGGAUGUUCGAUCCUAUUUUGUUGGUUUCUAGGAUAGACAUAAUGA
Molecule: ribosomal RNA, 220 nt
Filed under: uncultured fungus
Lineage: Eukaryota; Fungi
Description: partial 18S ribosomal RNA
Rfam family: Eukaryotic small subunit ribosomal RNA
Source: RNAcentral